This 492-nucleotide ribosomal RNA is filed under the name uncultured bacterium. Its description in RNAcentral is "partial 16S ribosomal RNA". It matches the Rfam family "Bacterial small subunit ribosomal RNA", at positions 29 to 507 of the family's 1533-position model. The record is from RNAcentral.
AGUGAACGCUGGCGGUAGGCCUAACACAUGCAAGUCGAACGGCAGCACAGUAAGAGCUUGCUCUUACGGGUGGCGAGUGGCGGACGGGUGAGGAAUACAUCGGAAUCUACUUUUUCGUGGGGGAUAACGUAGGGAAACUUACGCUAAUACCGCAUACGACCUACGGGUGAAAGCAUGGGAUCUUCGGACCUUGCGCGAUUGAAUGAGCCGAUGUCGGAUUAGCUAGUUGGCGGGGUAAAUGCCCACCAAGGCGACGAUCCGUAGCUGGUCUGAGAGGCUGGUCAGCCACACUGGAACUGAGACACGGUCCAGACUCCCACGGGAGGCAGCAGUGGGGAAUAUUGGACAAUGGGCGCAAGCCUGUUCCAGUCAUACCGCGUGGGUGAAGAAGGCCUUCGGGUUGUAAAGCCCUUUUGUUGGGAAAGAAAAGCAGCAGGUUAAUACCCCGCUGUUCUGACGGUACCCAAAGAAUAAGCACCGGCUAACUUCGUG